AAUGCUCACUUCAGCCUCACAUACUAAAAUUGGAAUGAUUAUAGAGAAGACCAGCAUGGUUCCUGCACAAGGAUGACACACAAAUCCAUGAAGUGGUCCAUAUUUUU
Molecule: small nuclear RNA, 107 nt
Organism: Capra hircus (goat)
Lineage: Eukaryota; Metazoa; Chordata; Mammalia; Artiodactyla; Bovidae
Source: Ensembl